AGUAAUGUAUGGGGAUCUGCCUGAUGGCGGGGGAUAACUACUGGAAACGGUAGCUAAUACCGCAUAAUGUCUGCGGACCAAAGCGGGGGACCUCCGGGCCUCGCGCCAUCAGAUGAACCCAUAUGGGAUUAGCUAGUAGGUAAGGUGACGGCUUACCUAGGCGACGAUCCCUAGCUGGUCUGAGAGGAUGAUCAGCCACACUGGGACUGAGACACGGCCCAG
This 222-nucleotide ribosomal RNA is filed under the name uncultured bacterium. RNAcentral describes it as "partial 16S ribosomal RNA". It matches the Rfam family "Bacterial small subunit ribosomal RNA", at positions 109 to 334 of the family's 1533-position model. The record is from RNAcentral.